GGUUGCCUCCAUUAAGGUUAUUCGAAAUAAGCAGACUGGCUUCUCAGAAGGCUAUGGAUUUGUUGAGUUCCAUUCUCAUGCUGCUGCUGAAAAGGUUUUGCAAAGUUAUACUUGCAUUCCUAUGCCUAACACCGAUCAACCUUUCCGUUUAAACUGGGCUACAUUUAGCAUGGGCGACAAGCGCUCAAAUAAUGGUUCUGAUCUUUCUAUAUUUGUAGGAGAUUUAGCUUCAGAUGUCACUGAUACCUUGUUGCAUGAAACUUUUGCUAGUAAAUACCCAUCUGUUAAAGCUGCUAAGGUAGUCAUUGACGCCAACACUGGCCGCUCAAAAGGUUAUGGUUUUGUAAGGUUUGGAGAUGAUAAUGAGAGGUCCCAAGCCAUGACCGAAAUGAAUGGUGCAUACUGUUCAAGUAGGGCUAUGCGCAUCGGUGCGGCAACCCCCAGAAAGUCUGUUGGUUACCAACAACAAUAUACUUCACAAGGUAAGUUGUAACCUUUUUUACUUUUAGCAGCUUAGUUUGAAACUCAUUAUUGUAAAGUACCUAUUACUUAAAGUUUGUUUAUUUAGUCUUGCCUUGUUAAUAUAGGCUACGUGAAAUUAUGUAGGACAUCAGGAUUAUCGGGAAGAUGAGGGGGAGAAUAAUUUUCCUCUUCUCUAUUUCUCAGUUGAAAUAACUUAGGCUAAUAGUUAACAUGUAAUUGAUAGUAGGAUUUACGUUCUCCCUUACUGCUUCUUUCCCAACCAGAUUAAAAAAGCCCUGCAUAAGUCUAGUCCCCUUCCGCCUUCUGAAUUCAUUUGACAUGUGGUUAAAUGUACUAUGUACACAUCUACUUUCCUUUUCUGACCCCACUCAUGUUCCAUAGAAAGUCAGUCAUGUAACACCAGGUCAAGUUUUGUUUUAGCAUGAUAUACUGAAAAGUAAAGUGGAUUAUAUUUAGAAGAAGUGGGAGGUGAGGUUGAGAGAACAGCCAAUGUUGUGAUCAUGUUUCUUUUGUAAGAUAAUCAUUGAGUUUUAACAGGCAAUAUAAAUAUUUGUUCUUGUGGCUUUAUAAUUAGAUGUGUUAAGAACUUACAUGUAUAGUGGAACCAGUGAUGAGCAGGAAAAUCUAUCAAUGUUGCUUCUAUUUUAUAAAUAUCAGUGAUUUGGAUUAAAAAGAGUAGCAUAGGUCUUUUGUACUCUCUGGUUUCUACUCUGUUCAUUCUCUUUUAUGUUGCUACAAAAGUAAUCUGGUACAUUUAUAUGGCGCAAAACUCAACUUGGCCUGAAUAUUCUGUGAAAGGGGAGGCAUACUCGUAAUUUCUGUAUGCGUUUGUAUUUAGAUAAUAUCUGACAUAGGUAACAGAUGCCUUGAAGAUCUAUUCUUUCUUCUAUCAGGCUCAUAUACAUUUAGAAAUAGUAUGAAAAUCGGCUCUGUAACUUUUAAGUUUAACUUAUACAGUUUGCUCAGUUCCAGUUCUCCAAACAGUUUUGUUGUUUAUAUAUUUAUUCCUUUCAGAAACACUUGCUUAAUGGUUUGUUGUGUAUAUAUUUUCUUUAGUAAGUCUUGCUGAAUGGUUUGCUUGAUUUUUAAUCAUUUGAAUAUGGCUCUUCUAGGUGGACAUGUUUCCAAUGGUGAAUCUGAUGGAGAUUCUACCAACACAACAGUUAGUUUUCUGGCUUCUAGCAGAUAAAUAAGUAUAUUAUUAAAUCACGGGCUUCCCCCUUUUUGUUAAUUUUCUAACAAGCAAGUAUAUGUAGAUAUUUGUUGGAGGGCUUGAUCCAAGUGUUAGCGAUGAGGACCUCAAGCAGCCGUUCUCCCAGUAUGGAGAGAUCGUCUCAGUAAAGAUACCAGUUGGGAAAGGAUGUGGGUUUGUACAAUUUGCCAACAGGUACAAAAUAGCUUAGUAGUUUGUACCAUAUCAUACGUUCAAUGAUACAUUCUAAACAGAAGUGAUGCUUCUGAACCGUGUUGUGACACACAUUCAUUCUGGCAGAAAUGACGCGGAUGAGGCAUUGCAGAAGUUAAAUGGCACCGCAAUUGGCAAGCAGACAGUUCGUCUUUCUUGGGGGCGCAACCCAGCCAAUAAGCAGGUCUUUUGUUAGUACAGUAAUGCUGCAAUUAGUAGUGUUUUGAACUUGUUACAAUGCUGUUUUCUCUGUUCUGAUUAUCUGUAUGGUUUUGAAUUUCUGCUCAUUGGUCUGUCUUGGUAUACUUGAAUGUUGCAGUUUCGAGGUGAGUAUGGCAACCAGUGGACUGGUGCAUACUACGGAGGGCAAAUGUUUGAUGGAUAUGGAUACGCAAUGCCAGCUCAUGAUCCAAGCAUGUACGCGGCUGCAGCAUAUGGCGCGUACCCUGUGUAUGGAACUCAUCAACAACAAGUCAGCUAAUUGGCUGCCUAGUGAACCGAUCACACGAAGAUCACACGUUGAAAUGGGCAGAAUUGUUCCAAUUUCUGUAGUUUUGUGUGUGUAGAAAUUCUAUAAUUCCCUCUAAAUGUGGAGUGGAACUGAAUUUUGACUGAUUGGCUAGUUCUAGGAAUUUGAUGAUAACAUUUAUCCAGGAGUGUGGGGAUUUAACGUAAGACUUCCUGAUUAGAAUAAAUGUUCUUUCACACGAAGUACUAUGCUCACAAAGCUAAUAUUCAGAUACUCCAGGUAACCUGGUUUUGCUUGUGGUGAGUUGAUAUUUUUUUAGGGUUUUAAUUCGAGCCGAGCCGGACGAGUUUUAAGAUGAGCCUAAUUCGAGCCAAGUUUAAUCGAGUCGAGCCGAGCCGGCUCAGUUAACUAAUCGAGCCUAAAUCUUUGCCGAACUCGACUCGGUUAAUUUCACGAGUCGAGUUGAGCCGGCUCGUUUAGCUAAACGAGCCGGUUUUAACGAGUUGAGCGAGCCAACUCGUAUAAUUUUACACUUAAUCGAGCCCAAACCUCUACCCGAACUCGGCUUGUUUAAUUUCACGAGUCAAAUCGAGCCGGAUCAUGUAAUUAAACGAACCAAAACCUUAACCCGAACUCGACUCAUUUAACGAAUCGAGUCGGGCCGAGCCGGACCCACUUAAACGAGUUCGAGCCGGGCGAGCUUGCGAGCCGCCGGACUCGAAUUACAGCUCUAUAUUUUUUAAAAGAAAUUUUGGGUUAUGUUUGGAAUACGCAUAAUUACUCCCUUUAUGUUUAAAAUAUCAAAAUCUAUUGGAGAAGGCUGUAAUAUCUCGUCUAACAUUUUAUGAAACUCCUGCACGAAGGAAAUCUAACAUAUCAGCAUUUUGUAAAAACAAACUUUCAGGUUAAUGCUUCAUGGUUGUUUUUGCACUUUGGAGAGGUGGAGGCAAAUAAAAAAAGAAAAAAAAAGGAAUUUGGGGUAAAAAAUUAAUUUUAAAAUUUUUCAGUUAAAGGAGCUUCUACACGUGUUUGGAAUAUAAAAAAUAAUCAAACAACUAUUUAUCAAAAUUAUAUCUUAUUUAAUUCAUUAUCAAAAUAAUGUCUUACUGAGUAUUUAAUUCAAGUGAUUUGCGAAUCGAACUAACUGGUAGUUAGUUCUGGUCAAAAUCGUUGAUCCAAUUUAUCUAUCUUUGAACAUACGCAUAUCUACUCCCUAGAUCUCAAUGUGUCCUUUUUAAUUAUUCAGCGAUCAAUUUAAUUGAUAAUUAAUUAAAAAAAUUUGUUAAUAAUUUCAAAUUUUGAAAAAGAGAUUUUGAAAAAAAUUAAAUAUAUUUUAUAAUAAGUAAUUUUUAAUAUCUUUUUUAGUUGAAUAAUAUAUAUAAUUUAUGAUUAAAAUUUAAUCAAUUUUAUUUAAUUAAAAUAAUAAAAUAUGAUAUGAGAUGGAGAGAGUAUUAAAAUUUAAGAUCGUCACAGAAACAGAAAUAACUUCACGUUCUCCGCUUUCUCUCCCAACUUCAAAAUUAAUUACUUCCUCCAUCCCAAAAUAGUUGUCACAUUUCUAUUUUUGUUGGUUGAAUUGAUUAAGUUUUGACCAAAGAUUAUAAUUCGAUUCUCAUUAUUUUAAAAAACUGAAAAUUACAUUUUAAAGUAGAUUAAAAAUUAUUUCCAGUGGCAUAUUUUUUUUAUUUUGUUACUCCCUCCGUCCCUAUUUAUCUGUCCACUUUGGAAGUAAAAAUCUGUCUCUAUUUAUCUGUCCAUUUAUACUUUCAAAACUAAUUUAAUGAUAGUUUUUCAAAUAUAUCUCCAUAAUUUCAAUUUUCAAGGCUUGACUUAUUUAAAACUUGGUUGAAUUCAUGUUUUGAAGACAUAAAGUAGGGGUAUUCUACCAUUUUCAAGAUAUUAAUUAGAGGUAUUUAAUGAAAAAGUUUAUACAAUCAAUUAUUCUUUGGUAUGUAUUUUUUUUUUCAAAAUAGACAGAUAAAAAGAGACGGAAGGAGUAAUUGAUAAAAUAUUAUUAAAUUUCAGUCAAAUUUUAGUUAAUUUGACCAGCACAAAACUGACUAUUUUGGGACGGUGGGAAUACAACUCAGGCCUGUUGGAUCAAAAUUCAAAACAAGCAAACAACUCCCGAAGGGCCCAAUAGAAGUGGAAGAUUUGGGCUGUGGAGCCCAAACACAGUGACUUUUCACUCUGGUGUUAGUAAAUUGCGGAAAUAUUCAUGAUAUCGCUUAAAAUCAAUAAUAUGCCACAAAAGUAACCUAGUAGACUAGCAGUACAAGUUAAUCCCCAAUUUUGGCAGCUAUGUUUAACUGCCACUUCAGUCACAUCUCUUCAAAUGGCAGAACCAGUUUCCAAGUACUAGAAAGGAACAAUCUGUCUGUCUAUUUUUAUCGUCAAAAAAAAAAAAAUCAGAUUAUCUUCAUCGAAUAUUAAAAGUGAAAACCAACUCUACUCUAAAAUAUAUUUUGCCGAAAGAAACAAAUAAAAAAUUACAAACUAUAUCUAUAAUAUGCCCAUCCAACGGUUCUCAUAAACUCACCUUAAUCCAACGGCCGAGAAUGUAUCUACAUGAGAAGGGCUUCAGUUAGCCUCUUACAUAAAUCUUCUCUUCCAGCCUCCCUCCACCUCCUUUCUUCUUCCCAGAUUUAUCCACCACAAUUUAACAAAUUCUUUUCUUCAUUCAAAACUAAAAAUAAUUAAAAAAACAAUUAUUUAUUAUUUAUUGAUUUAGUGUGAGAGCACAAUAAUUGUGAAAUGCAGACCAUAGCUUCUGAUCCGGUGACUCCCCAGCCGGCUGUAGCGGCCAAGGCGGCGCCGUCGCCUCAGUGGCUGCCUAUGCAGUAUCCGGCAAUGGUAAUGCAGCAUCACAUGAUGCCGCCGCCGCAUUACCCACCUCAUUAUUUGCCUUAUCAUCCUCUGCAGCAGCAUCACAUGGCUCCUAGUCAUCAACAAGGAUCCGGGGGGACCAGUGAGAACCAGACUAUUUGGGUGGGGGACCUUCAUAACUGGAUGGACGAGGAUUAUCUCCGCAACUGCUUUGCUUCAACCGGGGAGGUACGCUGAUGUUUAUGGUGAAUAUUUGCGAAAUAUUUGAUUAUUUGGUUCUAUAUAACCUUAGGACAUUGGUUGUGUUAUCACUCCUUUUUCUACUUAAAAUUUGAGGAAUAUGAUACGAAUCGAAUUGUUAAAGGAUGGAGUUAUAAUUAUACUCCCUCUGUUCUAAAAUAAUAGUCGUUUUAAAAUAUUCAGAAAAAAAAAAUUUGUAUGAUUAUUUGGUUCUAUAUGUUGUUUAAGAUAUGGCGAACCAAACAUUGGUUGUUUUAUCACUCCUUUUCUACUUAAAAAUUGAGAAAUGUGAUACAAAUAUGUGAGUAAUGUGGAUUUCGAAUUGUCAAGGUUGGAGUUAUAUAUAAUUAUAAAUUGCAUCUUCUUUGUUUUUCUUGUACUGAAUUUCUAUGCAGAGUAGCUAUAGAUUAGCUACAGACUUUCUUCAGGGAUUAGCGGUAGACUUUCUAUAGCAGGAUGCAAAUUUGAUUAACAGUUUUCUGUUUUUGUUUAUUGUACUUAACCUUGUCACUCAUUCAAUUUAUGAUUGUGGACAAAAAUUUGGUGAUGUAUGUACAUGAAGAUAAUAUGAGUAUGGAGUUUAAUCCAAAACUAUGAUACACUCUUUUGUUGCAAUCUUGUAAUCCUUUAUUUUGAGUUUGGUUGGGGAGAAUGGUAUGGAAUGACUAAAAAUAAAUGAAAAUAAUAGAAGUAGGAGGGAAGUUCCGGAAAAAUUUUAGUGAGUGCAAAAUUGUUAUAUAUGAUGAGAUUUGAGAAGAAAUUGAGUAAAAGAAGGAAUGGAGCUUUCCUUCUCAAAUUGGGGGUGUGAUCUCUAGUAAAGGGUGUAAGAAAUGGAAUGGAGGAAAAAAUGAAAUUUAUGCCACACUGGACUCCUUGCACAACUAGCUUAAUCAUGUAUAUCUCUAUAGUAAUUUUUGCUCUGUUUGGGAUAGGAUGAAUUGACCUAUUUAUCUCUAUUUGUCACAAAUUAAUUGUCAGGCCUAGUAAAAAUAUCAAAAUGUUGAAGCGCAAAACUUACAUUAAGAUACAACUGCAAUAAAACCAGUAGUUGGAAAACUUUACCAAAAAUUCCAAUUCUUUAGAAAGUAACGAAGAAUUGUCAUAUAUCAUUAUUUAUUUACUUUCCAAGUGGGAUAAUCACUAAUUGAUUUUCAGUUGAGUGAAAUUUUGUUUUGAAUGUCCCUUCUCCUCUCCUUCUUUAUGGUUCCCAUGUGUCAUUGCUCAAAUGUUGAAUAAAAAUGUGUUUGAAGACGAAUAUUCUCCUUCCCUGCUUUUUUUUUUCCCUUCAAAUCAUUGCUAUUUACAACACUAGUGCAUCUGAUUCAUAUCACUCUUAUAGGCUGGAAUUACAUUCACACUGUUGUACUUCAAGCUCGUAAAUUGUUUAAGUACUACAUUUUUAAAGACCAUUUAAUCAAAUAUCAUAUAUUGUUCUUUCAUUAAAAAUAACCACCGAAUAUGUUAUACUAUAUCAAGUGUGAGCCUUUACAGUUUACACAAGUCUGUUUCUUAAGAUGAAUGUUAGAUGUCUAUAAAACAUAGAGGAAAUCAAUGAAAUCUUAGUCAAGCCGAAUGUAUUGAAUAUAAGGUGCAGCUUGACACAACAUUUUUGCCUAACUCAUGCAGUUUUGUUCAUGUUGAAGUUUAUUUCUUAAAUUAUCUCUCAGUUAUAUUCAGAUUCUUCGAACAUAUCAUAAUUUUAAAUAAACAUACAUUAAGGACUUAAUUGGUUAAGCCUCACCCUUUUCAGCUUCAUUAGGUUGUUGUCAAAACUCAGAAGGCACUUUAUUUAUCAUCUGGCUAAAUAUAUGUUCCUCAACAAGACAGUCGUGGUUUAGUAGUAUAAUAUUCCUCUUCUGGACCCGGUACCCCCAUGUCACCAUUUUUCCCAUACUAAAUUCAAGUUGGCUCAUGUCUAAAUCAAAAUAUGAUAUAUAUUUAUCCAAUUUAAGCCAACACAUGUACUUUCUCGUGAUAUAUUUAGCAGCUUUCCAGUUUAUUAUUUCAAAGAAAAAAUAAGUAGCAUAAAUUGAUUCUUAAAAUGAAUGAAUUGAUUUGAGAUACGGGACUACUAAAUUACUAUAGUAUGAUUUUUUGUAAUGUCUUUUUUAAUGUUUAUAGUAUAGGAUUAGGAAAAUUUGAAUACUAACAUCAAGAUUAAUGUGUGGUUGUGCCUUUGAUAUCUUUGACAUAUUUUUCUUGACAUAUAGUGUCGUCUCUUGCACAGGUUGCCUCCAUUAAGGUCAUUCGCAAUAAGCAAACUGGCUUCUCAGAAGGCUAUGGAUUUGUGGAGUUCCUUUCUCAUGCUGCUGCUGAAAAGGUUUUGCAAAGUUAUACUUGUAUUCCUAUGCCUAACACCGAUCAACCUUUCCGUUUAAACUGGGCUACAUUUAGCAUGGGCGACAAGCGCUCAAAUAAUGGUUCUGAUCUUUCUAUAUUUGUUGGAGAUUUAGCUUCAGAUGUCACUGAUACCUUGUUGCAUGAAACUUUUGCUAGUAAAUACCCAUCUGUUAAAGCUGCUAAGGUUGUCAUUGACGCCAAUACGGGUCGCUCAAAAGGUUAUGGUUUUGUAAGGUUUGGAGAUGAUAAUGAGAGGUCUCAGGCCAUGACUGAGAUGAAUG
RNAcentral lists this long non-coding RNA (8044 nucleotides) under Daucus carota (carrot). RNAcentral describes it as "long non-coding RNA (DCAR_LNC003948)". Lineage: Eukaryota; Viridiplantae; Streptophyta; Magnoliopsida; Apiales; Apiaceae. The record is from RNAcentral.